UGGGGAAUUUUGGACAAUGGGCGAAAGCCUGAUCCAGCAAUGCCGCGUGUGUGAAGAAGGCCUUCGGGUUGUAAAGCACUUUUUGUCCGGAAAGAAAUCCUUGGCUCUAAUACAGUCGGGGGAUGACGGUACCGGAAGAAUAAGCACCGGCUAACUACGUGCCAGCAGCCGCGGUAAUACGUAGGGUGCAAGCGUUAAUCGGAAUUACUGGGCGUAAAGCGUGCGCAGGCGGUUUGCUAAGACCGAUGUGAAAUCCCCGGGCUCAACCUGGGAACUGCAUUGGUGACUGGCAGGCUAGAGUAUGGCAGAGGGGGGUAGAAUUCCACGUGUAGCAGUGAAAUGCGUAGAGAUGUGGAGGAAUACCGAUGGCGAAGGCAGCCCCCUGGGCCAAUACUGACGCUCAUGCACGAAAGGCGUGGGGGAGCAAACAGGAUUAGACUACCCCUGGUAGUCCACGCCCUAAACGAUGUCAACUAGUUGUUGGGGAUUCAUUUCCUUAGUAACGUAGCUAACGCGUGAAGUUGACCGCCUGGGGAGUACGGUCGCAAAGAUUAAAACUCAAAUGAAUUGACGGGGUCAUAGCUGUUUCCU
This 591-nucleotide ribosomal RNA is filed under the name uncultured bacterium. RNAcentral describes it as "partial 16S ribosomal RNA". It matches the Rfam family "Bacterial small subunit ribosomal RNA", at positions 355 to 1375 of the family's 1533-position model. The record is from RNAcentral.